CACGUAGGGCGCAAGCGUUGUCCGGAAUUAUUGGGCGUAAAGAGCUCGUAGGCGGUCUGUUGCGUCCGCUGUGAAAACCCGGGGCUUAACCCCUGGCUUGCAGUGGAUACGGACAGACUAGAGGUAGGUAGGGGAGAAUGGAAUUCCCGGUGUAGCGGUGAAAUGCGCAGAUAUCGGGAGGAACACCGGUGGCGAAGGCGGUUCUCUGGGCCUUACCUGACGCUGAGGAGCGAAAGCCAGGGGAGCAAACGGG
Molecule: ribosomal RNA, 253 nt
Filed under: uncultured bacterium
Lineage: Bacteria
Description: partial 16S ribosomal RNA
Rfam family: Bacterial small subunit ribosomal RNA
Source: RNAcentral